AAAGGUAUAGCUCAGGGUCAGAGUGCAUGCCUAGCAUGCAGAAGGUCCUGGGUUCAAUCCCCAGUACCUCCA
RNAcentral lists this transfer RNA (72 nucleotides) under Camelus bactrianus (Bactrian camel). It matches the Rfam family "tRNA". Rfam says of the family: Transfer RNA (tRNA) molecules are approximately 80 nucleotides in length. Their secondary structure includes four short double-helical elements and three loops (D, anti-codon, and T loops). The record is from Rfam by way of RNAcentral. RNAcentral also lists the same sequence under 3 other names. Lineage: Eukaryota; Metazoa; Chordata; Mammalia; Artiodactyla; Camelidae.